AUCCUACGGGAGGCAGCAGUGGGGAAUAUUGGACAAUGGGCGCAAGCCUGAUCCAGCCAUGCCGCGUGGAUGAUGAAGGCCCUAGGGUUGUAAAGUCCUUUCGGCGGGGAAGAUAAUGACGGUACCCGCAGAAGAAGCCCCGGCUAACUUCGUGCCAGCAGCCGCGGUAAUACGAAGGGGGCUAGCGUUGCUCGGAAUCACUGGGCGUAAAGCGCACGUAGGCGGCUUUUUAAGUCAGGGGUGAAAUCCUGGAGCUCAACUCCAGAACUGCCUUUGAUACUGAGAAGCUUGAGUCCGGGAGAGGUGAGUGGAACUGCGAGUGUAGAGGUGAAAUUCGUAGAUAUUCGCAAGAACACCAGUGGCG
Molecule: ribosomal RNA, 364 nt
Filed under: uncultured Sphingomonas sp.
Lineage: Bacteria; Pseudomonadati; Pseudomonadota; Alphaproteobacteria; Sphingomonadales; Sphingomonadaceae
Description: bacterial SSU rRNA
Rfam family: Bacterial small subunit ribosomal RNA
Source: RNAcentral